This 1490-nucleotide ribosomal RNA is filed under the name uncultured bacterium. RNAcentral's name for it is "16S ribosomal RNA". It matches the Rfam family "Bacterial small subunit ribosomal RNA". The record is from RNAcentral.
AGAGUUUGAUCCUGGCUCAGGACGAACGCUGGCGGCGUGCUUAACACAUGCAAGUCGAACGAGGUUAAGCGAAGGAAGUCUUCGGAUGGAAUUUGUUUAACCGAGUGGCGGACGGGUGAGUAACGCGUGAGGAACCUGUCUUCUACAGGGGGAUAACGGUCCGAAAGGAUUGCUAAUACCGCAUAAGACCACGGAAUCGCAUGGUUCAGGGGUCAAAGGAGAAAUCCGGUAGAAGGUGGACUCGCGUCCCAUUAGAUAGUUGGUGAGGUAACGGCCCACCAAGUCGACGAUGGGUAGCCGACCUGAGAGGGUGAUCGGCCACAUUGGAACUGAGAUACGGUCCAGACUCCUACGGGAGGCAGCAGUGGGGAAUAUUGGGCAAUGGGCGAAAGCCUGACCCAGCAACGCCGCGUGAGGGAAGAAGGUCUUCGGGUUGUAAACCUCUGUCCUUGGUGAAAAGGAAGGAUGGUAGCCAAGGAGGAAGCUCCGGCUAACUACGUGCCAGCAGCCGCGGUAAUACGUAUGGUGCAAGCGUUAUCCGGAUUUACUGGGUGUAAAGGGAGCGUAGGUGGCUUGUCAAGCCAGAAGUGAAAACCCGGGGCUCAACUCCGCGGAUUGCUUUUGGAACUGAUGGGCUGGAGUGCAGGAGGGGUAAGCGGAAUUCCCAGUGUAGCGGUGAAAUGCGUAGAUAUUGGGAAGAACACCGGAGGCGAARGCGGCUUACUGGACUGUAACUGACACUGAGCUCGAARGCGUGGGGAGCAAGCAGGAUUAGAUACCCUGGUAGUCCACGCGGUAAACGAUGAAUACUAGUUGUUGGACGGCAUAGCCGUUCGGUGACGCAGCAAACGCAAUAAGUAUUCCACCUGGGGAGUACGUUCGCAAGAUGAAACUCAAAGGAAUUGACGGGGACCCGCACAAGCGGUGGAGCAUGUGGAUUAAUUCGAGGCAACGCGAAGAACCUUACCUGCUCUUGACAUCCCCCUGACCGGCCGGCAAUGCGGCCUUCUCUUCGGAGCAGGGGAGACAGGUGGUGCAUGGUUGUCGUCAGCUCGUGUCGUGAGAUGUUGGGUUAAGUCCCGCAACGAGCGCAACCCUUGUCCUCAGUAGCCAGCGGUACGGCCGGGCACUCUGGGGAGACUGCCGGGGACAACCCGGAGGAAGGUGGGGAUGACGUCAAAUCAUCAUGCCCCUUACGAGCAGGGCUUCACACGUGCUACAAUGGCGUAAACAAAGGGAAGCGAAGGAGCGAUCCGGAGCGAACCCCAAAAAUAACGUCUCAGUUCGGAUUGCAGGCUGCAACUCGCCUGCAUGAAGCUGGAAUCGCUAGUAAUCGCGAAUCAGAAUGUCGCGGUGAAUACGUUCCCGGGUCUUGUACACACCGCCCGUCACACCAUGGGAGUCGGUAACGCCCGAAGUCAGUGACCCAACCUUAGGGAGGGAGCUGCCGAAGGCGGGACUGGUAACUGGGGUGAAGUCGUAACAAGGUA